UUAACUACAGUGGAAGACGCGCCUUCACUGUUUUCUCUCGGAAAAAUGAUUGCGUACACCAGAACCUGAACGAAUUCUUUCCUUUUUUUUCGCGGGAUUCCCGAAUUCCUCGACGUUUAUCGUGGUGGCUGUUUGGCAUCGACGGUACCGAAUUUUCUCUCGGAUCAGUCAUCUUUUAGGAGAAGAAUUGUGCAAAAUGUUUGAAUUGCCGGAAUCGGGCGAACGGAUGUUCUCCAGCGGAAGGCCUGGAUUCAGGUUAGUUUUCGAUUUCGCUAAAUUAACAUUUCCGGAACGAACUGCUUUCGCAUGUUGGGGGCUCAGCCGUUACCUCAACCUCGAACAACUGUGAUGGUUGGAGAAGGUUGGUGCUAAUCUCAUAUGUAGCAUAAUUGACAUCCCAUGCACCAAUAAAACGACGAAAGCAGGAGCGCUUCUGACAGAUCGUCAAAGUUCAACAAAAACCCAUCCAGCAUUAUCAUACCGGAUGAGCACCACAGCAGCAGAAGCGAUAGCGAGUUCGAGCGAAAGAGCAGCAUCAGUAACAUAGUCAUCGAUAAGGACGGAAGCUAGUGAAAAAGUAUAGUUCGAUUAUUGCCGGAAGUGUGGGCAACAUUUUUAUCGCCAAGGUAUGGACGACGUUGCUGGCGUAGGUCAUUAUUGACAUCUAAGGAACCGUGCGCCGAAAAUUGUAGUGAAUUUGAAGGCUGAAAACGUGGUAAUCAAC
Uranotaenia lowii is the source of this 724-nucleotide long non-coding RNA. RefSeq lists it as uncharacterized. The transcript is spliced from 4 exons. Lineage: Eukaryota; Metazoa; Arthropoda; Insecta; Diptera; Culicidae. The record is from RefSeq and is a predicted model, not a curated record.